RNAcentral lists this ribosomal RNA (301 nucleotides) under uncultured bacterium. RNAcentral describes it as "partial 16S ribosomal RNA". It matches the Rfam family "Bacterial small subunit ribosomal RNA", at positions 509 to 807 of the family's 1533-position model. The record is from RNAcentral.
CAGUCGCCGCGGGAAUACGAGGGGGGCAAGCGUUGUUCGGAAUUAUUGGGCGUAAGGGGUGCGUAGGCGGUUCAGCAAGUCUCGUGUGAAAUCUUCGGGCUCAACCCGAAGUCUGCACGGGAAACUACUGGGCUUGAGUAAUGGAGAGGUGAGUGGAAUUUCCGGUGUAGCGGUGAAAUGCGUAGAUAUCGGAAGGAACACCUGUGGCGAAAGCGGCUCACUGGACAUUUACUGACGCUGAUGCACGAAGGCUAGGGGAGCAAACAGGAUUAGAUACCCGUGUAGUCCCUGUCUCUUAUAC